UACUUUAAGGAAAUGAUAAAGAAAUGAUCAUAAAUGUUCUUCCUUGAGCUGCGUCACCCCGCUGUAGUCUGUAAUGGACUGGCCUGAGGUCUCGCUACAAACAAGCAGCUGCUGGAAGAGAGUAGGUGAGUUGUGUUUAGUCUCUUUGCUAAAGAAAUGAGUCAAAGUUAAAAAGAUGUUUGGUGUCUAGUACUAUGUCUGUGACCCUAUAUGUCCUGUUGAUGAAGUUAGGUGCUGUUCUGAGCAUUAUUUGUGGCUAUAGAGUGGCGUUUUGGUUGGGGGCGUGGCUCUCUGUAUUUCUAUCCUGCGGUCGUUACUAAAGUUGGUAUAACUAGAGAAGCAAGAGGUCGGCAACAUUCAUCUCUGGAGGGGGGGGUCUAACUCGGUGUUACGGUGUGUUUGACCCUAAAUUGAUUUUACCCCGGAAUAUCCCUUUAAUUACUCAACUAUGGAUAUCGGGGUCAUGUUUACCCCAGGUCAGACAUGAUGUACAUGCAAAGAUGUGAUUAGAUGCAGAUCUUGCACAGACUGAGUGAGGGUCUGGCCGGUUUUUUAAGUCCACAGGGAUCCUCUGUACCUCAUACAGCCACACUUACAACAAACACACAACUAUCCGUUUAAAGUGAAGACUCAUCGUCAUGUGAACGAGGCGUUCAGUCGAUUCGAAGGUUAAGAGUCACUCAGCAGGAGGUUUAAUGAAGCUGCAGAGGAACAACACGAUUACAGGAACCUCCAGUUCAGCCAACACGGGCGGGAAGACUCUGAAAGAGUGAGUGUGUGUUCAGAGAAGGAAGCAGUCUUACAAUCGAAACAAAAGCCUGUAAUGAAUCACUGCUCGCUCGCUCGCUCACUCUCUCGCUCACUCUCUCUCUCGCUGUGAGCUCUUAUUUUUCCUGUAACUUGUGACCAGCAGAUCCUUCGCUCGGAGCUGCAGCAGUCUUCAACAAAAACCAGUUCAGUGACCCCUCAGUGAUUUACAAUAACCCUGAGUGUCCUGGUAUCCGCUCUGCCUCCAAAGUCAAGCUUUUCGGGGGACUGACGGGUCCUUUAUUCUGCUCUGAGGAGAAAACACUCAGAGGAUAGUCAUCUUUAUUUCCUGUUACAAACAAACAUGCAGCUGAUAAAACAUUAAAACAUAAGUAUGAUGACAAAGUGCCUCUACAUCUCUGCAGCUCCAUGAACCAUAAACAGCUGAUUCUGGAGAGAAAACAGAACGUCAAAAUCACAUAACACUCACAAAAGGACAAAGUGCACCAUGGGUAAUGUAUUUAAGGUGCCGCUAAAAAUCGCCAGAAGACAAUGCGGCAUGAAGAGGACGCUUAAAAAGACUCGGUACGGUGAGGGGUCUGAUCUAGAAGUGGUCCCACCUCUUCUGCUGUUACCAAACACACUUUGAAAGUCAUGGUUGACGAUUGGAGAGAUCGGUAAUUAUUAUGAACCUCGUUUCUAUGGCGAUCAUGGUCCUUUAGUGCGAUCUCCACAAAGUGAAGAGAAAAAAGAUCGGAAAAAAUCUGUUCACCCUAUCAGGUGCAGGGCUGCAAAAACAUUGACCAAUGGGAGCCAUCCGUCCCGGACAGCUCCGAAAAUAAUCACAUUAACACAGAGUUUCCUUAAAUAUUGGUCUAGAGGUAAAAAGAGUCUGGACCAGAUUUCUGUUGAGUUCUGCUUCUGAAAAUCCAGGGCGCUAUAAAAAAGAGUCGAGUGAGUUUCCCAUCAGGAGGAAGUGUUUAUGUGAGCAAGAGAAAAUAGAAAGAGAGGAAGAGAAAGGAGAAGUAAUAAAGACAAAAAAAGGAAGAAUAAAAAUCUGUCUUUUCUCACUAACAGAGGAACCGGAGAGACGGAAAAUAAACACAAAAGAAACAAAAUACCAACAUGAAACUUCCCUGCAGUCAAACCGCUGCUGCCUGCAAGAAGAAAAUAUGACUGUAGAGCGAAAUCAUCCAAUAUUUACUCACGCUUUAAAGCAAAAAUGAUGAAACCUUUUACAUCGGAGAUUUAAUCCGGUGUCAAGCUGAUGUAAACAAACGCCAUCACAUGCAACUUUGAGGCACGAACAAUUCACACAAAAACAGCAACUACCAAACCAAGACUCUUGUGAGUCCACAAAGUGAACAGAAAAAAAACGCUGUUGAGUGUCUGUUAGGGCUGGGCGAUAUGGGAAAAAGUUUAUCACAAUAUAAACCGACGUUUUCCUAACGCCAGUGUUGUGGUUGACAUUGAUGUGGUCAUCUGUUGAGCCUUCAUGGUCAUUUCUGUCGGGGGUAGCACUCAUUUUCUUUGUUUCUCACCAACAGUGCUGUCGGCUUCACCUGUUAAAGUGCUAUGGUUGGGUGGAGCUGCUGUCUGCUACGACGCAGCAGUUGGUUGAUACUUGGUUCUAAUUCAGAACAUGAUUGGUUCAGACCCGGAGAAACUCCCCUUUUCAUUGGCGAAUGGUAUAAUUGACAAAAACAUGGCAGAAUGCUGACUAUUGAAAAGCAUAUUGACCAUGUUUUAUAUUCAUAUUGAAGGAAAUUAAUUUAAUAUAUAUCGUUAUCGUUUCUCGCCCAGCCCUAGUGUCUGUAGAUACUCAGGUGUUUGGGGCGUUUUCACUGAUCCGUCUCCAAGUAUAGAAAAAAACAUCUAGAAGCUGAACAAACCAAUCACUGACCGGCACACAGAACAAUCUGUUCUCUGCUGGAGGUGUAAACUGUCCGUCACACACCAAUAUUUCAUAAAGUGCUGCAGUUCACCUAUAUCACCAUGGCAACCUCAGCCUGUUUUUAAUUGGAGCCUGAGGCCAGUCUGCAUCCCUUUCAUCUCCUUCACAUACACACAUGCUGGAGACACACUGUGUGUAUAUACGCUCACUUACACACACACACACACACACACACACACACUCUCUCUCUCUGCUCUGAGGCGUCGUCUCCCGUUGGGACGGAGGGAUGUGCGAUCAGUCGUCACUCUUGAUGUUCGAGGUUCAAAUCUGGUUCAUGGGUGUCAGUCAGCUCGUCUCCGUGUGUUCGCUCCGUCACACCUGAACUGACGUUUUUUCUACGCUCUGAUUUCUUUCCUCCGUACGACCUUGGAGGACAGCCGUGUGUUUAUAGGAACGGCAACACUUUUACUAUCAGAGAUUUUUCACAGCUGAAGUUUUCCUGUGUGAAAUUUCAAUUUCAGUUUAAGACAAAACCUGAAACAUAAGUAGAGUCAGCGCAACACCCUCAUCACAAUUAUUACUCUGACGAUGAAGAAGGUUUGGAGUCGACUGGAAAUCCAAAAACCUGUAAACGUACGAUUUAGACCUGAUGAGAGGGGGCAGAUGUUAAAGAUGCCAGUCUGGUCUGGAAUCUGAAUUUUCAAUCAGCAUCUGUGACAAAACUCAGAAACCAAGUUUCACCUCAUCCGGAACCGCUCCAAUCUGGAACGGCGGCUAUUUUUCGCUGUCUAGAAUCAAUUUCUGUGCAUCGUUUUACUGAGUUUAUGUUUGAUUUUCUACAACAUAAAUUUCUUGGCAGAUUACGGACAGAGGUAAUCACGAGAACUCACAAGAACCUGCAGAUUCACGUUCAAUUGCACAAUAACGAGUUGUCUCUUGGCCACAGAGGCUAACCAUCUAAGCAGUAGAUUGUGUCCUUCCAGAGGAGAAAAUCUACUUCUAGACUUCUAGAAUCAGCAUCUCCUCAUCCAUGGUGUCAUCGGGGUGAAAUGACGUCUAAAAACCUUUCACUUGUUCGUCUCCUCCUGAAACACGGAGUGUUUUAUUUUGAAAAGAAUCCGGAUGUUUUAUUUUGUGUCUGUGUCCGAUUUCCUUUCCAGCACGGGUUAAUCUGUGCUGAAUUUAUCCGCCAUGCUCCGGCGUCUGACGGAAAGAAGUCGGUGUAAAUUGACACGUUAACUUAAAUGGUUACGAUCAGCUACGAUCGAAGGAUACGACCUUUUAGGAGACGAUCAGGAUGAAGGUGGAAACUGGGGGUUAGUCCUUGUAGAGUUUGCUGGUGUUUCUAGAUGGUGGACCAGUUCUCGGCCUUGGAUGAUUUCUCCAGAUCCUCUGAAUCUUUGAAUGAUAUUAUGUACUGUAGAUGAUGGAAUCCAUUCAUUCCUGUAGAAAUUGUUUAAAACUGGAGAUGCAGUAUGGAUGAUUUCCAGUUCUUUUAAUUUUAUGCCGGAAUAUCCCUUUAAACCCUGAAGUUCAGGACCAUCCAGUCCUGGUUUUGGUCUUUGUCCCUUUAGUACAGAUAUUUCUCCAGAUCUUCUAAACUCUCACAGAGUCCUGACCCUCUUCCAUCUUUCCUUCUCAGAGACUCAGCCUCUCUAAACGUCCGUCUUAGACCCGGUCAUGUGACUAAAACCUGCUCCUCUGGAUGUUUUUUGGCUUUACAACUUUUUCAGUGCUUCACAGUUCCUGUCCAAAAAUACGUUACUCUCCCUCCUGUAUAUUCAUGUUUUUUUGUCUCUACUCUUUGAAAAUUAUCAUCACAUUAUCAUUUCUAACCAACUAAAUCAAGUUUUGGUGAAAGAAAAUCUGAAAAUCGGAGAUACUCGGCUGAUAAAACUGAGCUGUGAUUCUCUUUUAGAGCCAUAAAUUAUUCAGACACACACGUCUGGACGUCUGUCCUGAGGCUUGGGGGACUCAGGUGAACCACACAGCUUAUUAACCCGACAUCACACACACACACACACACACACGCACGUGAACAAGAACACACACACACACACACACACACACGCACGUGGACAAGAACACACACACACACACACGGGCACGAACACAGACCUUUAACAAGACAAAGGAGGCUCCAUUUUUGACAGGCAAACUGAGGCGAGCGCAACACUCCAUCUCUGCUCUGUUUCAAACCAGUGGAGCACAGAGCAUCAUGGGAAAUAAGAGGGGGAAGGGCUUUCAUGUCCCAUUUCCUCCCUUAAUUGUGCAAAUUAAUUGUCAAGUUAAGGAAUAUGGAGAAGCAGUUCAUGUUGUUUAGUAUUGGGAAGGAAAGGAUGUUUGGAUUUUUUCAGUCCUCCUCUGCUAAAGUUAUCCUCAGACUACAACGUGUUGGAACGACUCCUGGGUCGAGGGUCAACGAUUAAGAUAUUUUACCACAAGUAUACGACAAACAACUUCCUGACGAUACUUUCAUUCUUUGUUUUAAGUCCAAUCGGCAAUUUAAGAAGCAGCCGAGUCGUUUUUUGGCUUUUUACAGCUCCGUCCAUCAGAUGGUGGUGGGUCUCAGUUUCACAGUAAAGAGUCUUCGGGCCGGCUUCCUUCAGCAGUAGGAACCUCCUUAUUUAUGUUUUUAGAGCGUGUCUACUGCACAAUAGUUAAGUCAAAUAAAUGUUGUUUCUCCUGGAGUCUGUUGCUGUGCUAACUUCAAUUUUGGGUCCAAGAAAAACUCGACCAAGGAGACAAUCAAAUAUAUCAUAUCGUAUCCUAACAUGUUGUAUAUCAGAUUGUAAGCUAUAGUAUCAUAUUGUAUCGUAUGUUAUUGUGUCCUAUAGUUUUUUAUGGUAUUGUAUGUAUCCUGUCAUAAAUGAAAAAUUUUCCUUCCUGUGACAGAGGAGUAAUGAAUGAGUCAAAAAACUUACAUAUGAACUUUGAAAGAUGUGGAGAAGAGUCUCUUUUACAGCAAGUCGAUCUUUUACUUUCAUUUAUUUAUUGUAUUUUAAUUUUGGAGACAUUCUGUUUGAGCUCCUGAUGAAUCUGUUCAUUUUUGGGCCAAUAAGUUUAUGAAUUUUUCUCAACAUGUUCCUGAAUCAAUAAUUGAUUUAAUCUGGUUUAUUAUUCAUGUCUGUACGCUCAGCAUUGAUGACUCACACUCAACAGAGAGAAAAUAAUCAUUUUUUAAAAAGUAUAUCUGCCUACAGCAUCUAUCUUUCUAUCUAUCCAUCCAUCCAUCCAUCCAUCCAUCCAUCUAUCUAUCUAUCUAUCUUGUAUCUAUCUAUCUAUCCAUCCAUCUAUCUGUCAGAACAGAAUAUCAUUCAAAGAUUCAGAGGAUCUACAUUUAAAAUAGGACUUUGUUUGUUUGUUUGUUUGUUUUUUAACUCA
RNAcentral lists this long non-coding RNA (6025 nucleotides) under Xyrichtys novacula (pearly razorfish). Lineage: Eukaryota; Metazoa; Chordata; Actinopteri; Labriformes; Labridae. The record is from RNAcentral.